This is a long non-coding RNA of Esox lucius (northern pike), 1968 nucleotides long. NCBI's taxonomy places the organism in Eukaryota, Metazoa, Chordata, Actinopteri, Esociformes, Esocidae. The record is from Ensembl.
UUAAGCAAGAAAAAUAAUUUAUUUGAAUGAUAUAAUAAUUUGUAUCACAUUAGCAAGACAUACAUAGCUGCAUGUGUUCAAACCUACAGCUACAUACACCACACUGCUGGAUCUGAAAACUGAGGUUGUCAACAAUCAUCAUUAUUACAAUAUAAGCAGUCGAGUUUUUAAUAUGUCCUUCCAAUGAGAAAUAACAAAAAUAGAGUAAUUCCAAAAACUCUCUCUCUUCUUCUUGGUGUCUUUCUCUUUUGAGUAGCCCAGCCAUCCUAUACCCUAUUGUUUCAUGAUUUCUGGGUAUUGUCACUCAAUGGGGGUGUGCACUUGUAAAAUUGGUGAAGAUCUUCCUGGUCCAAUACUGACUUGAGCUAAGUGAACUUAACAUGGACCUAAGUAAAUCAAAUCUAAUUUAAGUCUACUUAAUCUGAAUAGGGCACCAUGAGCCAUGUUUGUGCUGGACAACUGCUCCUUUCUUAUACAAAGGGACAGGAGCUCUUACUGACCACGUGACUUGACAGGAAAACCAUCUGGGUCAGAGUUAUACUCCUAUAUUCUAUAACUAGACUCCAGAGUGUUCCUGCAUGGUCAUGUGAUGUGUUGAGAAAAACAUAUGGAGGAAGAUCCCUGUCAAAAUGCUAAUGCCAAAAUGUUUUUCCAUAAAAACUCCUGUCCCUGAUCAUGCUAUAUUGAAUCUGAAUAAGGGUUUUCUGAAGGGACUUACAUUGUAUCUACAGAUUACCCUUCAAGACACCUUUAAGAGCGAUGUCAAUUGUCACGACACCCUAUUCUCUUUCUCAUGCAUUACUUUUGACCAGAGCCAACCUUUAGUGUGGUGCACUUCAUGGGGAAUAGAGUGUCUUUUGAGAUUGUUUUAAAAUGAAUAUCUAUUCAUUUGUUUGUGUUUGCUUAGCACUGUGACGACCAGAUGGUUGUCAACAGCUUGUUAUGUGGCUACUUUAUGCAGAUGCCAAAACAAAACAUAAACACAAACUGUCUAGAGGACAUUGUUUUCUUUCAUCCGUCCUCUCCCAGUAUUUGUCUCUCCAUCCCACUCUCCCUUACUCUCUUUCCCUCCCUUUCUCUCCAUCUCUCCCACCGUCUCUUUCUCCCCCCUGACUUAAUUUUCAUUGGGGAGUUUGGGCUGGAGAAAUCUUUAAGAGCUGUCCUCAACAGUAACAGAAUAAUGAAAAAAAAAGAGAGUUAUUAACCCAUCUGUGGUCUCCUCCUCCAAGACUCAAAUAUACACUGUUGAAAUGUUAGCCAACGUCUCCUCAUCCCCAUUUAAUUUCUGUCCCUUAUACCAUGUAAUAAUCCACCAAAAACACAUUCAUAGACAAUGUUGUUUGGAGUUUGGAGAGCCCACUCUUAUAAAUCCCCAUGUGUGGGAACAGUAGACUACUGAAGAGGUUGUGUGUGUGUGUGUGUGUGUGUGUGUGUGUGUGUGUGUGUGUGUGUGUGAGUGAGUGUGUGCUGCCCAAUCUUUCUGUGGCCAAGUUUAGACACUGUAACUGGAAUGAGAGUUGGAGUAUUUAGUGAGUAUUUGUCCUUGGUGUCAGUGAAAACCUGUUUAUGCCUAAUUUUCAGUCCUGGGCUGUCAACUAUUGGUUACUAUUGGUUCUGUUCAUCCAACUCGUAUCCCUCACCAUGUCUCUCAUUUUCUAUUUCUUUCUGUCGUUGUACCUGUGUUUUGUGAACAAUCUAGGUAAAUGGCUAAGAGUAUUAAGGAAUCAUGAUGACUGUUACUGUUACAGACAAUAGUAACCACAGCAUACAGUAUUACUGUAAGAACCACAGUAUGUUACUGUAGUGUAUACAGUGGAUACAAAAAGUCUACACACCCCUGUUAAAAUGCCAGGUUCUUGUGAUGUAAAAGAAUGAGACAAAGAUAAAUCAUGUCAGAAAAUUUUCCACCUUUAAUGUGACCUAUAACGUGAACAAUUAAAUUGAAAAUCAAACUGAAAUCUUUGAGGG